RNAcentral lists this ribosomal RNA (465 nucleotides) under uncultured bacterium. RNAcentral's name for it is "partial 16S ribosomal RNA". It matches the Rfam family "Bacterial small subunit ribosomal RNA", at positions 28 to 507 of the family's 1533-position model. The record is from RNAcentral.
GACGAACGCUGGCGGCGUGCUUAACACAUGCAAGUCGAACGGAAAGGCCCUGCUUGCAGGGUACUCGAGUGGCGAACGGGUGAGUAACACGUGGGUGAUCUGCCCUGCACUUCGGGAUAAGCCUGGGAAACUGGGUCUAAUACCGGAUAGGAGCCAUUUUUAGUGUGAUGGUUGGAAAGUUUUUUCGGUGUAGGAUGAGCUCGCGGCCUAUCAGCUUGUUGGUGGGGUAAUGGCCUACCAAGGCGGCGACGGGUAGCCGGCCUGGGAGGGUGGACGGCCACAUUGGGACUGAGAUACGGCCCAGACUCCUACGGGAGGCAGCAGUGGGGAAUAUUGCACAAUGGGCGCAAGCCUGAUGCAGCGACGCCGCGUGGGUGAUGACGGCCUUCGGGUUGUAAACUCCUUUCGCUAGGGACGAAGCUUUUUGUGACGGUACCUAGAUAAGAAGCACCGGCUAACUACGUG